Molecule: ribosomal RNA, 792 nt
Filed under: uncultured bacterium
Lineage: Bacteria
Description: bacterial SSU rRNA
Rfam family: Bacterial small subunit ribosomal RNA
Source: RNAcentral
AGAGUUUGAUCAUGGCUCAGAACGAACGCUGGCGGUGUGGUUCAGGCAUGCAAGUCGAACGAUCUCGCAAGAGAUAGUGGCAGAAGGGUUAGUAACACGUGGGCAAUCUACCCUCGACUCGGGGAUAACACUUCGAAAGAAGUGCUAAUACCCGAUGACAUUACGGUCCGGCAUCGGAUUGUAAUCAAAGGUGGCGCAAGCUGCCGAUUGAGGAGGAGCCCGCGGCCUAUCAGCUAGUUGGUGAGGUAACGGCUCACCAAGGCUUUUGACGGGUAGCUGGUCUAAGAGGACGAUCAGCAACAUUGGGACUGAGAUACUGCCCAGACUCCUACGGGAGGCUGCAGUCGAGGAUCUUUAGCAAUGCCCGAAAGGGUGACUAUGCGACACCGCGUGCAGGAUGAAGGCCUUCGGGUUGUAAACUGCUGUCAGGGGGGAAGAAACCCAGCUAUUUAAAAGAUGGUUGGCUGACAUCACCCCCAAAGGAAGCCACGGCUAACUCUGUGCCAGCAGCCGCGGUAAGACAGAGGUGGCAAGCGUUGUUCGGAUUUAUUGGGUGUAAAGGGCAGGUAGGCGGCCGGGCAAGUCUGAUGUGAAAUCCCAUGGCUCAACCGUGGAACUGCAUUGGAAACUGCCUGGCUUGAGUAUCGGAGAGGUGAAGGGAAUUCUCGGUGUAAGGGUGAAAUCUGUAGAUAUCGAGAGGAACACCAGUGGCGAAGGCGCUUCACUGGCCGGUAACUGACGCUGAACUGCGAAAGCAAGGGGAGCAAACAGGAUUAGAUACCCUAGUAGUCC